UGAUGUCAACCAUUCAGGGGCUAGAUAACCAGGUGUGCCUCUCAUUCUUGUAACCACUUGACUCAUAUCCCUAUCAAUGAGCUUGCAUAGUCCAAAAUCGGAAAGUUUAGCAUUGAAGUCAUCAUCUAAGAGGAUAUUUUGUGGCUUGACAUCCAAAUGAGCAAUUCUCUUCAUGCAAUCCUCAUGAAGAUAAGACAGACCCUUAGCUAUGUCAGCGAUAAUCUUGCAUCGCACCCUCCAUUCUAACGGAGGAGCACUAUUUUCAUGUCGACCAUAGAUCCACCUGUCCAAGGAUCCUUUUGGCAUAUACUCAUAAACCAAGAGCCUAUGGGAUUUCUCUGCACAGAAGCCAAACAGCCUCACCAGAUUGAUAUGAUGAAUGCUACCGAUUGUCUGAACCUCCGCCAAGAAUUCUCUCUUUCCCUGACCAGCUCGAUCCAAACGUUUUACCGCAAUCCUUUCCUCGCCUAGCUGCCCUUCGAAAACAGACCCAAAUCCUCCUUCCCCGAGCUUGUCCUUGAAUUGCUCUGUUGCUGCUUCUAACUGUUGAAACGUAAACCUCAUUGGUGUUCCUUGUAGCUGAUCAAACUCUGCCUCCUCAUCUGUCAUCUCAUGGUGUCGUCGUGUUCCUCUUCGACGUAUGAUGAAAAAGAUGAAUGUGACGAUUAUUAAACCUAUGGCACCUGCAAUUGCAACUGAAACAGAAGUGCCUAUUGAGGGUCCUUUGCGUAGUGGCCUAAGAUCAGCUGAGUUAGGAGGACUUGGAGGUGAAGACGUUAGAUUGACCGGUGGGCAGAAGAUGACCUGGUAGUCGGUAUCAAAUGGGCAGCUGAAUGAAGUAUCUGUGGCAGCAUCACUGGAGUAGCUUAUUGCCUCCGGGCACAUCCGCACAAAGAAGGCCGAGUAUUUGUUGGAUUCACAAUUUCUCUCGCAGCAGUACAUAUAAUUAUUCUGCUCCUGGAACACUGUACAUGCGCUGUUGCAGCCUCCCGGUGCCUUGAGCUCGCUCGGACACUGUGACGUGAUGUUGGCCCCACAGUGGGGCCCCUUUCUGCACCCUGGUCCUCCUUGUCCCUUGACCGGCAUUGGCAGGAACUCCAUGGGUACAUUGAAGCCCUGGUAGAGGGAGAUGCCGAAGAAACUGUUGUUGUUGUACUGGUUGAGCGAGAAUUGAGCAGACGUGUAGGGUGGUUGACCAUCUCCCUUGCAGGUGAGCAAGCCUUGGCAGUCGCCUGUCUGGCAUGACCCGUGGCCUUUGCCGUCAAACGAGCAGCCUGUGCGUGCCCACACGCUUCCUCCACGGGUGGCAUAGGGCACCUUGAGGGUCCAUGUCUUGCCAGGCUGCAGCCGCCUGCCGCCGCCCACCGGGAAAGCGGCCGGCCAUACGGUGUAGGGGCAUCGGUUGGUGAUGUUGAGUAUGGUUUGGGAUUGGGUGGUGAUGACUGGCAGGAGGAGCAGGAGGCGGAGGAGGAAGAGCAGGUGGAGAGUCAGGGAGAUACCUCUAACUGCCAUUAGUGCCGUCUGCUAACAGGACUCCUCUUGGGUGAGAUGAUAACGGAGGAAGAGAUGCCUACAUUAGUGUACUUGUCUAAUAUGUGCGUGUUGAAUAAUUCAACGGUCAACAUACAACAGCCUGACAUGAGAACUGUUUGAUAGGACCAGACUUGAUUGUGGAACUUGUCUGCUUACAAAUCACUUAUACUAGCAAGAUGCUCAUGCGUUGCACAGAACAUCAAGAUGCAUUUGUAUGAAUAGUUUAUCUUGUGGGACAAAAGGAUGAACGAGGGAAGGCCUAUUUGUAAAUGUGGAGAGGGGUGUGGGUAUCUUUUUGCAAAAUUGCCAUAGUUUCCUUCCUAUCCGCCAGAUAUAAAUCAGACAGCCUAUAUUGUAGGAUGGCAGGCACACCAUCAUCACCAACUCUGUUUUUUAUAAUCACUUAUAUAUUUGUGCGUCUUCCAAAAAGGAGGAAUUGCAUCUGUACAUCCGUAGAAUUAACGUGUUUGAUGAUUUUGGCUGCAAGGAAUAUGCACACACGGUGCCAAAUCUGAGCAAAUAUUACAUAUGUGUUUUCACAUGAAUAAAACAGGCUGUUUGGUAAAUUUCACCAUCAGAGCGUUGGCUUUUUUUUUGUGUGUGUUCACAUAGAGUAUUUUAGAAAUUUGUUGGGUUGCAUGACUCUCUUCCUUCCUGAUGAUCCGCUCCAUGCUUUCUUGCGACAGAAACGGUCAAGAGUGAAGACCACCUCUUCUACAAGUGUGAUACACAGUCAGAUUGUGGGAAAUGAUAAAAGGGAUGGCUACAGCUAGGACAUCUCGACGCCUCCACUUGGCAUCUCUUCCAGUCCACCAACUAUUGGUGGGUGAGUCAAUCUGACAACAACAUUCCAAACCGGAAGGCGAUGGCUUCAUUAACCAUGCUUAUCUCUUGGACAAUUUGGAAUGAAAGAAAUGCACGCGUCUUCCUUCAAAAAAGCGCCCCGCCGAUGGUCCUGCUUAGCAAUAUCAAGGUUGAGGCGGCGGUUUGGGUCAGGUGCCAAACACUUGGGUACUAUGAUGCCAGGAGAGUAAUGACUUUUGUAUUGACGGUGUGUUGUAAUGCCUUACUGUAACACAACAAACUCUAUUCUCUUUUAAUUAAUAGAUGAAGCAAAUCUUUUACCUUCGUUUCAAAAAAAAAAGUGAAGACCACUUUGCAAAAUGUAGCUGGUGGUUGGGGUCAAGCUGAAGCUGACAGCGGUGG
Molecule: long non-coding RNA, 2739 nt
Filed under: Triticum aestivum (bread wheat)
Lineage: Eukaryota; Viridiplantae; Streptophyta; Magnoliopsida; Poales; Poaceae
Description: long non-coding RNA (TAES_LNC025133)
Source: RNAcentral